UGAGUUUCGGGCUCUAGAUGGAAUUGAGA
This 29-nucleotide non-coding RNA is filed under the name Homo sapiens (human). Lineage: Eukaryota; Metazoa; Chordata; Mammalia; Primates; Hominidae. The record is from RNAcentral.